AGUUUCAUACAACCUAUUGUAGGAAUGCCAGGACACCUCCCUCCCAUCCCCAGCUAAACAGCUGAAACCUGAAGUUUUCUGCAAUUAGGAAUUUCAAUUGAUCAUACAACGAAUUGCGAACCCCUUGGUGUUUUUUUUUUUCGGACAAUCAAUCAGAAACCCGGAUGGACAAUUCCAACAACCAAAUAAAUGUAAUCGAGUCCUCAAUGUUGAACAACUGCAAAUCAUUCCGUUGGUUUAACAAUCAAUAAUGAACCCUGUUUGAAUGCCACCAGAACUUGCACGAAUUCCUGUUUAGUUCCUGAGGAAAGCAGCUGCUCACAAAAGAAGGAAUCUCACUUUCGACGUGACCUAGCGUGGAACAUAAAUUGAAACAGAUCCGGUGGCCAAAUCAGAUUUUACAGAGUCUCGGAAGGAUGGCGAAAAAAUGUAAUGUGUCUUUCUGCCUAGUCUAUCAUCAAACCAGAAAACCUUUAUUAUGGAAAGGUUAAUGAUUCCAAAACCACGUGAGAUUUCCCUACAGAACGUCAACCCGUGGUUUAUUGAUGACCUAAAGGAUUAGGGAGAUACAUCAGUAAUAUCAGACUUGCUCUUACUCUGGUCUACCAUGGGAUAGGAAAAUAUCUUACUAAUGGAUGGACGUCUCCCAGAAACAUAUCUAUGACAAAAAAAAACUGUCUCAGAAAAUACAA
This is a long non-coding RNA of Uranotaenia lowii, 692 nucleotides long. RefSeq lists it as uncharacterized. The record is from RefSeq and is a predicted model, not a curated record. Lineage: Eukaryota; Metazoa; Arthropoda; Insecta; Diptera; Culicidae. The transcript is spliced from 3 exons.